CGAAUGCUGACAUAAGUAACGAUAAAGCGGGUGAAAAGCCCGCUCGCCGGAAGACCAAGGGUUCCUGUCCAACGUUAAUCGGGGCAGGGUGAGUCGACCCCUAAGGCGAGGCCGAAAGGCGUAGUCGAUGGGAAACAGGUUAAUAUUCCUGUACUUGGUGUUACUGCGAAGGGGGGACGGAGAAGGCUAUGUUGGCCGGGCGACGGUUGUCCCGGUUUAAGCGUGUAGGCUGGUUUUCCAGGCAAAUCCGGAAAAUCAAGGCUGAGGCGUGAUGACGAGGCACUACGGUGCUGAAGCAACAAAUGCCCUGCUUCCAGGAAAAGCCUCUAAGCAUCAGGUAACAUCAAAUCGUACCCCAAACCGACACAGGUGGUCAGGUAGAGAAUACCAAGGCGCUUGAGAGAACUCGGGUGAAGGAACUAGGCAAAAUGGUGCCGUAACUUCGGGAGAAGGCACGCUGAUAUGUAGGUGAAGCGACUUGCUCGUGGAGCUGAAAUCAGUCGAAGAUACCAGCUGGCUGCAACUGUUUAUUAAAAACACAGCACUGUGCAAACACGAAAGUGGACGUAUACGGUGUGACGCCUGCCCGGUGCCGGAAGGUUAAUUGAUGGGGUUAGCGGUAACGCGAAGCUCUUGAUCGAAGCCCCGGUAAACGGCGGCCGUAACUAUAACGGUCCUAAGGUAGCGAAAUUCCUUGUCGGGUAAGUUCCGACCUGCACGAAUGGCGUAAUGAUGGCCAGGCUGUCUCCACCCGAGACUCAGUGAAAUUGAACUCGCUGUGAAGAUGCAGUGUACCCGCGGCAAGACGGAAAGACCCCGUGAACCUUUACUAUAGCUUGACACUGAACAUUGAGCCUUGAUGUGUAGGAUAGGUGGGAGGCUUAGAAGUGUGGACGCCAGUCUGCAUGGAGCCGACCUUGAAAUACCACCCUUUAAUGUUUGAUGUUCUAACGUUGGCCCCUGAUCGGGGUUGCGGACAGUGUCUGGUGGGUAGUUUGACUGGGGCGGUCUCCUCCUAAAGAGUAACGGAGGAGCACGAAGGUUGGCUAAUCCUGGUCGGACAUCAGGAGGUUAGUGCAAUGGCAUAAGCCAGCUUGACUGCGAGCGUGACGGCGCGAGCAGGUGCGAAAGCAGGUCAUAGUGAUCCGGUGGUUCUGAAUGGAAGGGCCAUCGCUCAACGGAUAAAAGGUACUCCGGGGAUAACAGGCUGAUACCGCCCAAGAGUUCAUAUCGACGGCGGUGUUUGGCACCUCGAUGUCGGCUCAUCACAUCCUGGGGCUGAAGUAGGUCCCAAGGGUAUGGCUGUUCGCCAUUUAAAGUGGUACGCGAGCUGGGUUUAGAACGUCGUGAGACAGUUCGGUCCCUAUCUGCCGUGGGCGCUGGAGAACUGAGGGGGGCUGCUCCUAGUACGAGAGGACCGGAGUGGACGCAUCACUGGUGUUCGGGUUGUCAUGCCAAUGGCACUGCCCGGUAGCUAAAUGCGGAAGAGAUAAGUGCUGAAAGCAUCUAAGCACGAAACUUGCCCCGAGAUGAGUUCUCCCUGACUCCUUGAGAGUCCUGAAGGAACGUUGAAGACGACGACGUUGAUAGGCCGGGUGUGUAAGCGCAGCGAUGCGUUGAGCUAACCGGUACUAAUGAACCGUGAGGCUUAACCUUACAACGCCGAAG
This 1668-nucleotide ribosomal RNA is filed under the name Escherichia coli. RNAcentral's name for it is "partial 23S ribosomal RNA". It matches the Rfam family "Bacterial large subunit ribosomal RNA", at positions 1291 to 2925 of the family's 2925-position model. Lineage: Bacteria; Pseudomonadati; Pseudomonadota; Gammaproteobacteria; Enterobacterales; Enterobacteriaceae. The record is from RNAcentral.